Molecule: ribosomal RNA, 869 nt
Filed under: uncultured archaeon
Lineage: Archaea
Description: bacterial SSU rRNA
Rfam family: Archaeal small subunit ribosomal RNA
Source: RNAcentral
CUCCGGUUGAUCCCGCCGGACCUGACUGCUAUCGGAUUGGUACUAAGCCAUGCGAGUCGUUGUAGCAAUACAAGGCGGACGGCUCAGUAACACGUAGUCAACCUAACCUAUGGACGUGGAUAACCUCGGGAAACUGAGAAUAAACCGCGAUAGAUCAUUAUGCCUGGAAUGGCUUAUGGUUCAAACAAUUUAUUGCCGUAGGAUGGGACUGCGGCCUAUCAGCUUGUUGGUGAGGUAAUGGCCCACCAAGGCUAUAACAGGUACGGGCUCUGAGAGGAGAAGCCCGGGGAUGGGUACUGAGACACGGACCCAGGCCCUAUGGGGCGCAGCAGGCGAGAAACCUUAGCAAUGUGCGAAAGCACGACUAGGUUAAUCCGAGUGACUUCUGUUGAAGAAAUCUUUUGUCAGUCGUAAAACCACAGACGAAUAAGGGGUGGGCAAGUCUGGUGUCAGCCGCCGCGGUAAUACCAGCACCUCGAGUGGUCAGGAGGUUUAUUGGGCCUAAAGCAUCCGUAGCCGGCUACGCAAGUCUCCGGUUAAAUCCAGCUGCUCAACAGAUGGGCUGCCGGAGAUACUACAUAGCUAGGGAGCGGGAGAGGUAGACGGUAUUCUGUGGGUAGGGGUAAAAUCCACUGAUCCAUAGAGGACCACCAGUGGCGAAGGCGGUCUACCAGAACGCGUUCGACGGUGAGGGAUGAAAGCUGGGGGAGCAAACCGGAUUAGAUACCCGGGUAGUCCCAGCUGUAAACGAUGCAAACUCGGUGAUGCAUUGGCUUAUGGCCAAUGCAGUGCCGCAGGGAAGCCGUUAAGUUUGCCGCCUGGGAAGUACGGACGCAAGUCUGAAACUUAAAGGAAUUGGCGGGGGAGCA